Molecule: ribosomal RNA, 497 nt
Filed under: uncultured bacterium
Lineage: Bacteria
Description: partial 16S ribosomal RNA
Rfam family: Bacterial small subunit ribosomal RNA
Source: RNAcentral
GAUGAACGCUGGCGGCGUGCCUAAUACAUGCAAGUCGAGCGAACAGACGAGGAGCUUGCUCCUCUGACGUUAGCGGCGGACGGGUGAGUAACACGUGGAUAACCUACCUAUAAGACUGGGAUAACUUCGGGAAACCGGAGCUAAUACCGGAUAAUAUAUUGAACCGCAUGGUUCAAUAGUAAAAUACGGUUUUGCUGUCACUUAUAGCUGGAUCCGCGCCGCAUUAGCUAGUUGGUAAGGUAACGGCUUACCAAGGCGACGAUGCGUAGCCGACCUGAGAGGGUGAUCGGCCACACUGGAACUGAGACACGGUACAGACUCCUACGGGAGGCAGCAGUAGGGAAUCUUACGCAAUGGGCGAAAGCCUGACGGAGCAACGCCGCGUGAGGGAUGAAGGUCUUCGGAUGGGAAAACUCUGUUAUUAGGGAAGAACAAAUGUGUAAGUAACUAUGAACGUCUUGACGGUACCUAAUCAGAAAGCCACGGCUAACUACGUG